CGGCCGCGUCGACCAGGAUGAACGCUAGCUACAGGCUUAACACAUGCAAGUCGAGGGGCAGCAUGAACUUAGCUUGCUAAGUUUGAUGGCGACCGGCGCACGGGUGAGUAACACGUAUCCAACCUUCCGUUUACUCAGGGAUAGCCCUUCGAAAGAAAGAUUAAUACCUGAUAGUAUGGUGAGAUUGCAUGAUAGCACCAUUAAAGAUUUAUUGGUAAACGAUGGGGAUGCGUUCCAUUAGGUAGUAGGCGGGGUAACGGCCCACCUAGCCGACGAUGGAUAGGGGUUCUGAGAGGAAGGUCCCCCACAUUGGAACUGAGACACGGUCCAAACUCCUACGGGAGGCAGCAGUGAGGAAUAUUGGUCAAUGGGCGAGAGCCUGAACCAGGCCAAGUAGCGUGAAGGAUGAAGGUCCUACGGAUUGUAAACUUCUUUUAGACGGGAAUAAAGUAUCCUACGUGUAGGAUUUUGUAUGUACCGUAUGAAUAAGCAUCGGCUAACUCCGUGCCAGCAGCCCGNGGUAAUACGGAGGAUGCGAGCGUUUACG
This 547-nucleotide ribosomal RNA is filed under the name uncultured bacterium. RNAcentral's name for it is "bacterial SSU rRNA". It matches the Rfam family "Bacterial small subunit ribosomal RNA", at positions 31 to 542 of the family's 1533-position model. The record is from RNAcentral.